AGACAGGGAAACUGCGUACGGCUCAUUACACCAGCCUUAAAUUACUUGACCUUGACAACCUACUUGGAUAACUGUGGUAAUUCUAGAGCUAAUACAUGCACCAAAGCUCCGAUCCUCGCGGAGAGGAGCGCAUUUGUUCGCCACAAAACCAAGCGCCCAUCUGGGCGUCCAGUGCUGAACCAGAACAACUCAGCUGAUCGCACGGUCUUGUACCGGCGACGUGUCUUUCAAGUGUCUGCCUUAUCAACUUUCGAUGGUAGUGUACCUGACUACCAUGGUUGUGACGGGUAACGGAGGAUAAGGGUUCGACUCCGGAGAAGGGGCCUGAGAAAUGGCCACUACGUCUAAGGAUGGCAGCAGGCGCGCAAAUUACCCACUCUCAACGCGAGGAGGUAGUGACGAGAAAUAACGAGACCGUUCUCAUACGAGGCCGGUUAUUGGAAUGGGUACAAUUUAAA
RNAcentral lists this ribosomal RNA (458 nucleotides) under unidentified nematode Sourhope farm. RNAcentral's name for it is "SSU rRNA". It matches the Rfam family "Eukaryotic small subunit ribosomal RNA", at positions 76 to 529 of the family's 1831-position model. The record is from RNAcentral. Lineage: Eukaryota; Metazoa; Nematoda.